Molecule: non-coding RNA, 234 nt
Organism: Vicia faba (fava bean)
Lineage: Eukaryota; Viridiplantae; Streptophyta; Magnoliopsida; Fabales; Fabaceae
Source: the annotation of a GenBank genome assembly
AUGUGGCAGAGAAGGGGAGGUGAAAUGGGGUCAUCGGAGGUAUGCUGGGCUCUUGGAUAUACUGUUGCAACUCUAUUUUUUGCAGUGGUGGAGAUGUCAAUUGAUACCAUUGUUCUCUCAUUUUGCCAAGAUUCUGAAGAACACCAAGGGACAGCACAGUAUGCUCCACCUCUUCUCAUUGAAUCUCUUGGUAACCAAAGUGAGAUGCAUAGACUCGCCCAAGGAUCACAAUGA